Molecule: transfer RNA, 71 nt
Filed under: Phytophthora boehmeriae
Lineage: Eukaryota; Oomycota; Peronosporomycetes; Peronosporales; Peronosporaceae
Rfam family: tRNA
About the family: Transfer RNA (tRNA) molecules are approximately 80 nucleotides in length. Their secondary structure includes four short double-helical elements and three loops (D, anti-codon, and T loops). Further hydrogen bonds mediate the characteristic L-shaped molecular structure. tRNAs have two regions of fundamental functional importance: the anti-codon, which is responsible for specific mRNA codon recognition, and the 3' end, to which the tRNAs corresponding amino acid is attached (by aminoacyl-tRNA synthetases). tRNAs cope with the degeneracy of the genetic code in two manners: having more than one tRNA (with a specific anti-codon) for a particular amino acid; and 'wobble' base-pairing, i.e. permitting non-standard base-pairing at the 3rd anti-codon position.
Source: Rfam by way of RNAcentral
GGACACGUAGCUCAAGUGGCAAGAGCACCGCGUUUUGUGCGGAUGGACGGGUUCGAUUCCCGUCGUGUCCA